UACGUAGGGUGCGAGCGUUUAAUCGGAAUUACUGGGCGUAAAGCGUGCGCAGGCGGUUUUGUAAGCCAGGUGUGAAAUCCCCGGGCUCAACCUGGGAAUGGCAUUUGGGACUGCAAGGCUGGAGUGCGGCAGAGGAGACUGGAAUUCCUGGUGUAGCAGUGAAAUGCGUAGAUAUCAGGAGGAACACCGAUGGCGAAGGCAGGUCUCUGGGCUGACACUGACGCUCAUGCACGAAAGCGUGGGGAGCAAACAGG
Molecule: ribosomal RNA, 254 nt
Filed under: uncultured bacterium
Lineage: Bacteria
Description: partial 16S ribosomal RNA
Rfam family: Bacterial small subunit ribosomal RNA
Source: RNAcentral